RNAcentral lists this ribosomal RNA (440 nucleotides) under uncultured bacterium. Its description in RNAcentral is "partial 16S ribosomal RNA". It matches the Rfam family "Bacterial small subunit ribosomal RNA", at positions 338 to 795 of the family's 1533-position model. The record is from RNAcentral.
CCUACGGGAGGCAGCAGUGGGGAAUAUUGCACAAUGGGGGAAACCCUGAUGCAGCGACGCCGCGUGAGUGAAGAAGCGCCUCGGCGUGUAAAGCUCUGUCAGCAGGAACGAUAAUGACGGUACCUGUAGCAGAAGCCCCGGCGAACUACGUGCCAGCAGCCGCGGGAAUACGUAGGGGGCAAGCGUUAUCCGGAUUUACUGGGUGUAAAGGGAGCGUAGACGGCGGGGCAAGUCUGGAGUGAAAGGCCGGGGCCCAACCCCGGGACCGCUCUGGAAACUGCCCGGCUAGAGUGCGGGAGAGGUGAGCGGAAUGCCUAGUGUAGCGGUGAAAUGCGUAGAUAUGAGGAGGAACACCAGCGGCGAAGGCGGCUUACUGGACCGUGACUGACGUUGAGGCACGAAAGCGUGGGGAGCAAACAGGAUUAGAUACCCCUGUAGUC